AACGCACCUUGCGCUCCUUGGUAUUCCGAGGAGCAUGCCUGUUUGAGUGUCUUGAAGUCAUCAACCCCUUCCCGCUUUGUUGUGGGGUUCGGGUUGGAUUUUGGGGGCUUCUCUGCUGCUGAAAGGCGGCUCCCCUGGAAUGCUUUGGUUGGGCCUGUGGGUCGAACUCGACUGGGCGUUGUACCAUCCUCGCUCGACUGCAAUGUUCCCCUGCUGUGCCCCAGCCUCGACCGCCUCCUCGGUGGGGUGGCCAAACACUUUGGAAUCUGACCUCAAAUCAGGUAGGACUACCCGCUGAACUUAA
Molecule: unclassified non-coding RNA, 304 nt
Filed under: uncultured fungus
Lineage: Eukaryota; Fungi
Description: partial contains 5.8S ribosomal RNA, internal transcribed spacer 2, and large subunit ribosomal RNA
Rfam family: 5.8S ribosomal RNA (bases 1-52)
Source: RNAcentral